RNAcentral lists this unclassified non-coding RNA (254 nucleotides) under uncultured Basidiomycota. RNAcentral describes it as "sequence contains ITS2". Lineage: Eukaryota; Fungi; Basidiomycota. The record is from RNAcentral.
AUCCCUCAAAUCCCAAUGUUUUGCAAAACUCAUUGCUUGGAUUUGGUCGUGGGCCUUUUAUUGCUGCUUUACUGUCAGCUGGCCUUAAAGACAUUAGCUUGGACCUUCGAACCUUUUCAGAAGGCGCCUCCAUAUAGAUGUGAUAAAUUUACGUCGAUGGAUCAAAGGCCCUACUGUUGUCAAUGGUUUUUAAAAUGAACGGUCUGCUUCUAACCCGGCGAAGAGUUCCAUCUCUGACCCACCUUUUUCAUUAA